RNAcentral lists this transfer RNA (72 nucleotides) under Camelus bactrianus (Bactrian camel). It matches the Rfam family "tRNA". Rfam says of the family: Transfer RNA (tRNA) molecules are approximately 80 nucleotides in length. Their secondary structure includes four short double-helical elements and three loops (D, anti-codon, and T loops). Further hydrogen bonds mediate the characteristic L-shaped molecular structure. tRNAs have two regions of fundamental functional importance: the anti-codon, which is responsible for specific mRNA codon recognition, and the 3' end, to which the tRNAs corresponding amino acid is attached (by aminoacyl-tRNA synthetases). tRNAs cope with the degeneracy of the genetic code in two manners: having more than one tRNA (with a specific anti-codon) for a particular amino acid; and 'wobble' base-pairing, i.e. permitting non-standard base-pairing at the 3rd anti-codon position. Lineage: Eukaryota; Metazoa; Chordata; Mammalia; Artiodactyla; Camelidae. RNAcentral also lists the same sequence under 3 other names. The record is from Rfam by way of RNAcentral.
GAGGGUAUAGCUCAGUGGAAGAGUGUGUGCCUAGCAUACACAGGGUCCUGGGUUCAAUCCCCAGUACCUCCU